Molecule: transfer RNA, 68 nt
Filed under: Casuarius bennetti
Lineage: Eukaryota; Metazoa; Chordata; Aves; Casuariiformes; Casuariidae
Description: tRNA-Arg
Source: RNAcentral
AGAAAGUUAGUCUAACUAAGACAGCUGAUUUCGGCUCAGCAGAUUAUAGCAAAUUCUAUAACUUUCUU